This is a long non-coding RNA of Dermacentor silvarum, 974 nucleotides long. RefSeq lists it as uncharacterized. The transcript is spliced from 3 exons. The record is from RefSeq and is a predicted model, not a curated record. Lineage: Eukaryota; Metazoa; Arthropoda; Arachnida; Ixodida; Ixodidae.
GUAUAUUGCGGGAAUGGACAACUUUAGCUAUUAUGCAUUUGCACAGUCUUGGCCAGUGUCCCACAUUUUGUAAGUGGCAUUGCACCACAAUACAGCAUGCUGCAUAUUUCCCUUAACAAGUCCGAAAAAAAAAUUGACAGUCGGUUCAGCAUACGCUAAAGAGGACAAAGGUGAAAGCCUGCGUGCUUAUGAGACAUGCAUUAUAUUAUUCGACAUUCUCAUUCUUUUGUGUUGUAACUUACUAAUGUUUUCUAACACCAAAGGUCGUGGGUUCGACUGCAUUAAUUGCCUUUACCUAAAUUACUGUGGCUUAAUUACCUUGCCCUAUGUAACGCCAAAGGUCAUGAGUUCGAGUGACCAAAUAAACUAUUUCUUAAUUAGCUGUGCCUUAGUUAGGUUGGACUCACUUAAAACCAAAAGUCCUGGGUUCAACUACCACCAACAGUCGUGGUUUUAGCUAUCAAUGGUGGCACCAUAAAGUUUUGUGCAAUUGAAUUUUCCGGAAGGUCAAAUUUUCGACACAUUAGCCAUCUUAGGCUAUCGGAUUUAAAAUCCGCAGACACCUGAUCAGUUCUUAUAAGUAGUGAAAUAAUCACUUCUUAAUAAGUAGUAGGCAACUCUAUGACGCGAUUGUUGCAUUAACCAUUCCUAACUACUACCCUUGUACACCAAUUUUAUGCUAUACUUUCUUGGGGCAACUGUAGCGGCCUACUUUCUCAGAGCGCUGACUGUACGGUAAGACCAGGUGUAUGGUAAACUUCUUGUGGCAACUGCAGUGACCUGCUUUCAAUCCACACAAACUAGGAUAUAGUCACUUGUUGCGGCAACUGAAGUGGCCUGCUUUCUUUGUGCACUGACUGCGUGGUAUGGCAAAGUUUAUGGUACACUUGUUGUGGCAACUGUAGUGACCUACUUUCUGCUUACGCUAACUGUAUGACAUGGUUAGUAGUCGUGGCAACUGUAGUAGCCUGCUU